Molecule: ribosomal RNA, 253 nt
Filed under: uncultured prokaryote
Description: partial 16S ribosomal RNA
Rfam family: Bacterial small subunit ribosomal RNA
Source: RNAcentral
ACAGAGGGUGCGAGCGUUAAUCGGAAUUACUGGGCGUAAAGGGCGCGUAGGCGGUCAUUUAAGUUAGAUGUGAAAACCCUGGGCUUAACCUAGGACGUGCAUUUAAUACUGGGUGACUAGAGUAUUGUAGAGGGCAGUGGAAUUUCCGGUGUAGCGGUGAAAUGCGUAGAGAUCGGAAGGAACAUCAGUGGCGAAAGCGGCUUCCUGGUCCAGCACCGACGUUCAGGCACGAAAGCGUGGGGAGCAAACAGGA